Pieris napi is the source of this 271-nucleotide long non-coding RNA. RefSeq lists it as uncharacterized. Lineage: Eukaryota; Metazoa; Arthropoda; Insecta; Lepidoptera; Pieridae. The transcript is spliced from 2 exons. The record is from RefSeq and is a predicted model, not a curated record.
AAGGCUUGUUGCAUGGCGGACAUACCUCGUUGCAGGGUUCGACGCACCUAUUGAAGAUAUAAUAUCAGUCAACACUCCAACAAGACGGCCAUAAAGAGGCCUAACAUAUAGCAUGGCGCGUGCAGACGAAAUUGAUAACAUUCAGAACACGAGCCUACACAACGAUGGUCGCAACUCAAUACAGCUGAACAAGGGAACUUACAAUAACGGAGUAGCUCUUUCUUGAAACUAGUAUCAUUCGGAUUAUCUGUAAUGUAAUGUCAUCAAAUAA